GUUCUUUUGUUUAUAUAAAAGAUUUGGCCUGCCCAAUGAAUUUUAAAUGGCUGCAGUAUUUUGACUGUACAAAGGUAGCAUAAUCACUUGUCUUUUAAUUGAAGGCUGGAAUGAAAGGUUGGAUGAGAUAUAUACUUUCUUUACUUUAUUUGAAAAAUUUAAUUUCAAGGUUAAAAAGCCUUGAUUAGUCUAUAAGACGAGAAGACCCUAUAGAACUUUAUUCCCCCCUUUCAAAAAUUUAUUUUAGUUUAUCGUUAAAUUUUGAAAAGGGGGAGUUUUGUUGGGGUGACAAAAAAAAUUUUAUAACUUUUUUUAUUUUUGUCAUUUAUGGGUGUUUUAUUGAUCCUUUUUUAUGGAAAUAAGAUUAAGUUACCUUAGGGAUAACAGCGUUAUUAUUGUGGAGAGUUCAUAUCGAUAUAAUAGUUUGCGACCUCGAUGUUGGAUUAAAAUUAGAUUUUGGGGCAGAAAAUAAUUUUCUAGGUCUGUUCGACCUUUAAAUUUUUACA
RNAcentral lists this ribosomal RNA (506 nucleotides) under Woodwardiola sp. WCW-2003. Its description in RNAcentral is "partial 16S ribosomal RNA". It matches the Rfam family "Bacterial large subunit ribosomal RNA", at positions 1831 to 2600 of the family's 2925-position model. Lineage: Eukaryota; Metazoa; Arthropoda; Insecta; Hemiptera; Miridae. The record is from RNAcentral.